GACAGUUAAGAGAACCCAGUGAAGAAACCUUUUGCAGAGAGAGAAAAGAACCCUUUUGAAUGUGAUCAAUCACGCUGAUUUAUUUGGAUGAUUUCUCUUCUGGAUUUCCUUAAACCAGGGAAAACCCAGAGACAGAGGUCUUGCUAUGUUGCCCAGGCUGGUCUCAAGCUCCUGGCCUCAAGCGAUUCUCCUUCCUCAGCCUCCAAAAGUGCUGGGAUUACAGGCCACAAAAUGCAUGGCACAGGGAAGGGUUUGACAACUUUUUGAUGGAUGAACAAAGAAGAUUCAAGCCACUUGUCAACAAGCUCAAAGUGAUUGAAAGUGGAAGCAUUUACCCACACGCUCAUGCAGAAAAUGACAGGAAAUCAUCCAGAGACACUUGUGACAGAGAUGAGAACUGUCACUGUUGAGAGGUGCUGCGGAGAUGGGUGUCCACGGAUGACCGUUCGGAGGCCGACUUCGGGGAUGUGGCCCCAUUAGCUCAAGAGUGGGUGACUCCCUACCACACUGAUGGCGUUGGCCAGGACAGGACAAGCCUACUGCAGUGACACAGUGUCACUGAUCCCUGAUGCCCACGUGGGUGUUUUACUUUAGCUAAUGCUGCAGAGAUAAUGCAGACAGAGAAAUGAGGCCCCAGCGCUGAGCAGCCCAAUCACCUGGUUGUAAGCAGCGAGUGUUUCUGGCUCUGCUCCUGGGCCCCAAACCACUGUGGGCUCACGAAGAAUCUUUCAGAGUUGGAGUCAGAAUGUCAGGGUUUGAGUGUAGUCUCCACCCCUUAAUGACCUUGCAUUGAUAAUUCUAUUCCCCGAGCCUCAUUUUACCCAUCUAUAAAAUGAGGACAAAUAGUUUAUUUCCUGGUUACUUCACUAAGAUGUUGUAUCAAAAAAGAAUAUAUGCAAUAAAA
Molecule: long non-coding RNA, 904 nt
Organism: Homo sapiens (human)
Lineage: Eukaryota; Metazoa; Chordata; Mammalia; Primates; Hominidae
Source: Ensembl